UUGAGAUUUUCUUUAACUGAUAGGGCGGAUUUAGACGUUAGUCAUUUUGAAAAGAUAACAAUGAUGUUAUCUAUAAGUUGUCUUCUAGAAUGAAUCAUGUUCUCUGUAGACUCCGACAUAGCCUCAAGUUUGAACAUAGCCAAGUCAAACCUAUAUCUAUACGAGUCACAUAAUAAAACCUCUAAAUCUCAACCUCCAUGUUUUACUCCUUGAUUUUCUCUCUCCUCCAACUUCUCUCAACUCAUUAUCAUCUUCUCCUUAUAAUACCCUUUUUUCUGAUGUUGGCGAAGUGUUAGAGAAUAGUCUUAGCCAUGAAGCGCCAGAAAAGCACGACGGGAAAUAAAAAAUGGCGAACUAUCCUCUUCUCAGUCUCAGCUUCCAUUAAAUGUCAUGAUGAAAUACCAACUUGGCAUUAUCUUAUUGUAGAUGGAGUAAGUACUUGACAAGAGUUGCAAGUAGCGGAGGAAAGGAGUCGAGUUUGAUCAGUGUGAUCCAUUUUUUAGUCAUUAUUAUGUAUUAUAUUUUUUUCAGUGUUCUUAUUACUUGGCUGGAGUAAUGAUGUACAGGAGUAGCAGAGUUAUAAAUUGUAAUUAUAAUGUUCUUGGUGCUAAUAUAUUUGGAAAUAGUAUAAAUAUAUAUUCAUUUGUAA
Long non-coding RNA from Beta vulgaris subsp. vulgaris (sugar beet), 649 nucleotides. RefSeq lists it as uncharacterized. The transcript has 2 exons. Lineage: Eukaryota; Viridiplantae; Streptophyta; Magnoliopsida; Caryophyllales; Amaranthaceae. The record is from RefSeq and is a predicted model, not a curated record.